UUACCGGCUUGANAGGNCGAAAGCCCUUCGGGCCUAGGUGCUGCAUGGCUGUCGUCAGCUCGUGCCGUGAGGUGUUGGGUUAAGUCCCGCAACGAGCGCAACCCUAUCCUAGUUGCCAACAGAUGGGACUCUAGGAGACUGCCUAUGUAAUAGGAGGAAGGUGGGGACGACGUCAAGUCAUCAUGGCCCUUACGCCGGGCUACACACGUGCUACAAUGGGGUACAAGAGGCAUAGCAAUAGACGCAAUCUCAAAACCGCCUCAGUUCGGAUCGAAGUCUGCAACUCGACUUCGUGAAGCUGGAAUCGCUAGUAAUCGGAAUCAGCAUGUCCGGUGAAUACGUUCCCGGGNCCUGUACACACCGCCCGUCAAGCCAUGGGAGUCGGAGNCCAAA
Molecule: ribosomal RNA, 393 nt
Filed under: uncultured bacterium
Lineage: Bacteria
Description: bacterial SSU rRNA
Rfam family: Bacterial small subunit ribosomal RNA
Source: RNAcentral